This 836-nucleotide ribosomal RNA is filed under the name Paenibacillus sp. PBS3-12_Pa. RNAcentral's name for it is "bacterial SSU rRNA". It matches the Rfam family "Bacterial small subunit ribosomal RNA", at positions 61 to 888 of the family's 1533-position model. The record is from RNAcentral. Lineage: Bacteria; Bacillati; Bacillota; Bacilli; Caryophanales; Paenibacillaceae.
GUCGAGCGGGUUUAUCCUUCGGGGUAAGCUAGCGGCGGACGGGUGAGUAACACGUAGGUAACCUGCCUAUAAGAUCGGGAUAACUAUCGGAAACGAUAGCUAAGACCGGAUAAUUGGUUUUCUCGCAUGAGAGAAUUAUGAAACACGGAGCAAUCUGUGGCUUAUAGAUGGGCCUGCGGCGCAUUAGCUAGUUGGUAGGGUAACGGCCUACCAAGGCGACGAUGCGUAGCCGACCUGAGAGGGUGAACGGCCACACUGGGACUGAGACACGGCCCAGACUCCUACGGGAGGCAGCAGUAGGGAAUCUUCCGCAAUGGACGCAAGUCUGACGGAGCAACGCCGCGUGAGUGAUGAAGGUUUUCGGAUCGUAAAGCUCUGUUGCCCUAGACGAACAGCAAGGAGAGUAACUGCUCUUUGUGUGACGGUAUAGGAGAAGAAAGCCCCGGCUAACUACGUGCCAGCAGCCGCGGUAAUACGUAGGGGGCAAGCGUUGUCCGGAAUUAUUGGGCGUAAAGCGCGCGCAGGCGGUCAAUUAAGUUGGGUGUUUAAGCCCGGGGCUCAACCCCGGUUCGCAUCCAAAACUGGUUGACUUGAGUGUAGGAGAGGAAAGUGGAAUUCCACGUGUAGCGGUGAAAUGCGUAGAGAUGUGGAGGAACACCAGUGGCGAAGGCGACUUUCUGGCCUAUAACUGACGCUGAGGCGCGAAAGCGUGGGGAGCAAACAGGAUUAGAUACCCUGGUAGUCCACGCCGUAAACGAUGCAUACUAGGUGUUGGGGAUUCGAUUCCUCGGUGCCGAAGUUAACACAGUAAGUAUGCCGCCUGGGGAGUACGCUCG